Molecule: long non-coding RNA, 7045 nt
Filed under: Cyanistes caeruleus (blue tit)
Lineage: Eukaryota; Metazoa; Chordata; Aves; Passeriformes; Paridae
Description: lncRNA (ENSCCEG00000008418.1)
Source: RNAcentral
AUGAGGAACGUGCCGCUGUUCCCAGGCCACGCCGAUGCUGCCAGGGACAUCCUCGCUCCACAUGGAUCCAUGAUGGGACCUGAACAGCCUUUCCUGGGGUCCCUGUAUUCCCCUGCAGAGGCUCUGGACCCAUCAGCCUUCAUUGGCCUCGAGUCAGGCACAGAAUUCCUGCCAGGAAAAGCAGCACCUGAAGAAUACUGGAUGGGAGCUCAGCAGGACAUGAAGGGACCAGAUACCUCUUUCUUUGUUGAGCCACCAGUGCCCCCCUCAGCCACAGAGGCCAUCAGGACGAGCCUGCCCGAGAGCCCCACGGCAGCAGCAGCCCCUGGGAGUGUUCCUGCUGCAGCCUCAGCAUUCCCAGGAGAGGCUGCAGCCACGGAUGCACCGAAGGGCUCCACGCCAGGUGCAGCCUCUGUUCCCGCCGCCGACGCCGCGUCGCUCCCCGCAGAGAAAGCUGGAGCUGUCCCUGCUGCAGACACCAAACCUCCCCCAGCUCCAGGGGCUGCAGCUCCUGCAGCAGCUGCCAACCCUUUCCAGACCACGGAUUUGGGGUUUUCUCCUGCACCUGAAGCCAGCCCUCCCAAAGGCGUCAAUGACAUCUCCACCCCGGGGACGGAGCUCGGCUGCGCCCCGGCAGCAGAUGCUGGAUCCCACCGUGGGCUGGAACUGGGGUUUGCCCCAGCAGCAGGUGUGGAGUCCCACCAAGACAUGGAUUUGGGAUUUGCUCCAGCAGCAGGUGUGGAAUCCAAUCAGACCAUGGAUUUGGGAUUUGCUCCAGCAGCAGGUGUGGAAUUCAAUCAGACCAUGGAUUUGGGAUUUGCUCCAGCAGCAGGUGUGGAACCUCACCAUGCCAUGAAUUUUGCUCCAUCAGCAGAUGUAGAACCUCACCAUGCCAUGGAUUUUGCCCCAGCAGCAGAUGUGGAACCUCACCAUGCCUUGGAUUUUGCCCCAGCAGCAGAUAUCAAAGCUCAGCACACCGUGGGCCCUGAGCUUGGCCUGGCAGCAGAUGCAGAGUUUGCCCCAGCAGCAGAAGCCAACCAUCAGCACAGCCUGGAUUCUGGGUUUGCUCCUGCAGCUCCAGCCAAGCUUGUCCCUGCUGUGGACACUGGGAAUGUGUCAGUGCAGGCUCAGCCUGGCCCUGCAGGGGCUGCUGUGUCUGCUGAGGCUGCCCUUCAGCAGGACAAGUCUCCUGCAGAAGCACCAGCAAAGGUGGAAGCAGAAUCCAAAGUCCCAGAAGUUUGUGUGGAUCACUCAGAGAAGAUGAAGGACAGAAAAGCCCCUCCAAGCCCUCUGGACGAGCACUUUCCUGGGAAAAUCAGCCAGCAGCCGGAGCCAGCAGCUGAAGCAAAAGGAGCAGUAGAAAAUAAAGACCUUCCAGAAAAAUCUGCUCCUGCUGAGGAUGGUGAGGCACAAAAGGAGGAGGCUGAGCACAACCACGUCCAACACGCAGAACCUCAGGAAGGGAAAACCCUGCAGGAGCCCACAGGUCUUCCCACUGCACAAGUCAGGCAAGCUCCCAAAUCCAGGGACCGUGGGUUUGGCAGAGCAAAACCUGCCCCAGAGCCUCUCACAGAUGUGCCAGAGGAGCAUCCUGUAGGUCUCCCACAGCAGAAGAGUCCUGAGCCCAGAGCAGAUCCCUGUUCCACAGUGGAGCUUGGCUGUGGUGCUGGAACAUCCCCUCGCUUUAGGGUUCCUCACAAAAAGGCCACCAGUGUCCCCAAGGAGCCUGUGGAGAGCUGCAGAGAUCCCUCCCAGGAAAGCUGGGAUUUGGAAAGUGCCGUGGUGAAGAAAAAGAAAAAGAAACCCAAACAAAGGAGAAACCAGCUGCCAAGAGGGAUGGAGCUGUGGGAUGAGAACGGAGCAGGCUCCAGAGCUGCCAGGAAUGCUCCCUUUGGGCUGGAAUGGCAGAAUCCAGAGCCUGAGGGAACGCCCUCAGGGAGCAGAGCUCUGGAUGUGCCAAAAGAUGCUAAAAUAACAACUGGGAGUCAUAUCCUGGAUGAGCAAAACUCCUUCCCAGAGCCAGCCCCGGGACAGCAGCCCCCAAAAUCCGCUCUGCUGGGUGCCAGAGCCCGGGAGGAAGCGAAAGCAGAGGGAAGGAGAGGUGACAGCUGGAUGCUGGAAUGUAAAGGCAAGAGCAGAGAGGUUCCCUCGGAGCAGGGGGGCAAGACUGAGGUGGAGGAAUCUGCUCCAGCUUCGGGAGCCAGCGGGCCCACGGAGAGAGAUUUCCCCGGUAAAAGGGAGAGGAGGGAGCACAAGGAGUCAAGAGGCACCGACCUGAUGGUCCAUGAGAGCAAAGCAGGAACUCCCUUACAGACCAAACCAAAGGAAUUGCCCCUUUCCCAUAAAAAUAAAGAGCCUAAAACCUCAUCUCCAGGGCAGGAAGCACCCGGUGGCUCUGUGCAUCAGCUUUCCCUGGAAACAGCAGCUGAGAAAAACAGGGAAAAAAGCAACGGGGUUGAAAAGGAACCCCUCAAACAGCCUCACCUGGAGGACAAGCUCCCUGCAGAGCCAAAGGCAGCUGGAGAAAGUGAAACAGGGUCAGAGGGAGGGCUGCAGACCCCAAGAGAUGCUCCUGGAGCUCCUGUUCCAGCUUCACUUCCACCAAAGCUUGGGGAGGUUCCAGCUGUGCAGGGCAGAAGGGCCGAGGGUGUCCCCGGUGCUCCCAAACAUCCCUCCCCUGCUGGGGCAGGGGGCUGGGGUGGGGCAGAUUCCCCAGAUCCAAACCCAGGGAAGGGAUCCCCUGCUCCAGAGCAGAGGGCUGGGAAAGAUCCCAGCUCCACACACGGGAUGGAGAGGCCUAAAAAAAAGCGCAGCGAAGGGAAAGGCAAAAGAAUCAAAAGCUGCUCGGAGCAGAUGGUGCUGGCAGAGGAUGGAGGCAAAUUCACUGAGGGAAGGAGGACAGGGGAGGAUGGGAAGGAAGCAGUUUAUCCUGAAAAUGGUCAGGGGGUUCCUGCCAGAGGACACCCAUCAGCCAGCACUACAGACAAGCCCAAAAAAAGAGGCAGCGAUGGAAGGAGCAAAAAAGGGGAAAGGAGCUUUUUCCAGCAGCCUUUCCUUGAGAGUAAAAUGGAUGCAGGGAGUUUUCCUGAGGUGGUUGAUAAGGUGAGGGAGGGCAGUGAGGAGGGCAGAGCAGGGGGCUGUGUCCCUGCUGGGGGCUUGCAGGAAAAUGCAGCUAAAACACAAAGAUCAAUUGAGCUGGGACCGGAGAAACAGAAAGAAAAUGUUGGGAAACCUGAAACAGCUGAUCUGAGAGCUUUAGACCAAGCUUUGCUACUGGAGAAGAGCAAAGAGGAAGCCAAAAUUCCUGCUCUGGCUGCCACCACGAGCCUGACUAAAGAGGUGGAUUUGGUUGGGAAAGGCAGAGAGGCCGGAGGUGGCGCAGGGCUGGCAGAGAAAGGCAGGAAAAGGAGCAGUGAUGGGAGGAGGAAAGAGGCUGAGCACAGCCCCUGGGGACAGGCAGCUGUCCCGGGUGCUGGGGGGGACAGCAGCCAGCAGCAGGAGCCUGGGAACAGGAAGGAAACAAGCCUGGAUAAGGAGAAGGGAUCUGGUUUGCACAGAGAGAGGUUGGCGGAGGAGCUGGGGAAGCCCAAAAUCCAGGGUGGCACUGGCAGCUUCUCUGAGCUGCCAAAUCUUUCAGGCCAGAAAACUGAGAUUUCAGAGGCAGAAAUUGGCAGUGCUAAGGAAAGUUGGCCCAUGAAUAGAGGGAAGGAAGCAGAGAAAUCCCAGCCUCUCCCAGAGCACAGGGCAGGGAUGCACAGUCCCAGCAGGGAACUGGGGAUGGACAAGGCCAGGAGUAAAAGCAGAGAUGGGAAAGGCAAAAAGGCUGAGCACACACCUGAGCUGCAGCCAGGCAAUGUCCCUGCAGUGGGACACAGCCAGCAAACUCAGGCUGAGAAAGGCAAAGAGAAUUCCAGGACUCCAGCAGCUCACCUGCCUGAUCCUGCCAAGGUAGAGGCUCCUGCUGUGCCCCUGGAGCCAGGGAAAUCACACCCAGGUGAUGAGGAGAAACACAGAAAGGGGGAGCCUGACCCACAGCAGCCUUUUCUGCUGGAGAAUAAAGCAGGAGCAGGGAUCUUCCCUCCUCCUGGCCUGGAGAUCAGGGACAAAGCUGAGGCAGGAGGUGCCAGUCCUCGCAGCAGGAAUAAAAAUUCUGUCCCAGUGUCAGAUCCCAGCCUGGCCCCAGUCACUGAGAGAUCUAAAAAGAGGGGUUAUGAUGGAAGCAGUAAAAAAGCUAAAAAUGCUUCCAGGCAUGUUCCUCUAGAGGCAAAUCCAGAGAGGAGUGAAGCACAGCCUCCCCUGGGAUCUGGGCUGGGAUGUGGGAUGGAAGACACAGAUUUUGUAGAUGAAAACAGAAACAUUAAAAACUUUCCCGCUGGCCCUCAAAGACUUGGGAAUAAUAAAAGAAGUGACUUGAAAUCCGUGGCUCAGAGCACAGCAAGUGGUGCCGGGGGUGAUGCUCCCUGUGACCUCCCAAAGCAGAGGGAAGGGACUGCAGGGACUGGGGGCCUUCCUCCUCCUCCUCCUCUUCCUCUGGAAGCAGAGAACAGCAGCAAGGAGCGUGGAGCUGGUGCUGAGAAGGAGAUGCAGAGGUGCCAUGAGCAGCCCACCAGCCUGGGACACAAAGAACCUGCCCAAGACGUGUCACAGAGAGGUGGCAAAGGCAGAGAGGCUGAGGUGUCACACAGAGGCCAGCCCAAGGACAAAAGUGACCUUUCCCCCGUGGCAAAGGUGGAUGAUAAAGAAACAAAACCCUCUGAUGAGAAGCCCAGCAGUGCCAAGGCUCCCUCGGAGCUUCCUCCGAAGCACGGAGCAGCCGUGGGGGGCACGGGGCGAGCAGAGACCCCCAGAGCAGAGAGGGGCUCUGGGAGCCUUCCCCCAGCCCCUGCAGGGACCCCUGCCAGCACUGGGAUCAUUUCCCCAUCUGCAGGGACCCCUCCUAGCACUGGGACCCUUCCCCCAGCCCCUGCAGGGACCCCUGCCAGCACUGGGACCCUUUCCCCAGCCCCUGCAGAGACCCCUGCCAGCACUGGGACCCUUUCCCCAGCCCCUGCAGGGACCCCUCCCAGCACUGGGAUCAUUUCCCCAUCUGCAGGGACCCCUCCCAGCACUGGGAUCAUUUCCCCAGCCCCUCCAGCCGUGUCCCAGGCUGUGCCAGGAGCUGGGGUGGACAGGAAAGCUGGAGGGGACACGAGGAGCGAGCAGAGCUCAUCCCAACACCAGGGCACUGAGCCUCAGGCUGCUGGCCCUCGUGGGGCAGCUGCCCAAACCACCCAGAAACAGCCCAAAGAGAGCAGAAAAGGGCCCUGGCAGCCUGCAGAGGAGGGCCCUGCUCCUGCUGCUGAGGCUCUCAUGAAGGAUGCUCCUCGUGGAGCAGAGCUUCUCCUGAAGGAUGCUCCGGUGCCAGAGGCUGAGCUGGAUAAACCUCAAGACAAAACCAAAGAAAAGGAUUCUCGAGACACAAAUAAAGAAACUCAAGAUACAGCUAAAGAAAAGGAGUCUCAGGACACAACUAAAGAAAAGAAACCUCAAGAAUUAACUAAAGAGAAAAAAUCUCAAGACAUAACCAAAGAGAAGGAACCUCAAGAAGUAACUAAAGAAAAGGAAUCUCAGGGCACAACCAGAGAAAAGAAACCUCAAGAAUUAACUAAAGAACAGGAAUCUCAAGAAAUAAUUAAAGAAAAGGAGUCUCAGGACACAACUAAAGAACAGGAAUCUCAAGAAAUAACUAAAGAGAAGGAGACUCAGGACAUAACUAAAGAGAAGGAGACUCAGGACAUAACUAAAGAAAAGGAAUCUCAAGACAUAACCAAAGAGAAGGAACCUCAAGGAAUAACUAAAGAGAAGGAACCUCAAGCCCCAAGUAAAGAAACAGAAGAAUGUGAACAGAAAGCAGUGAAAGAGGCAAAGAAAGAGAGAUUGAAGGCAGCAGAGCAGCUCAAGGGCUACAUGAGACCCACCAAGGCCCGGGGGGUGCCAGCCCCGGUGGCCAGGCCGGCGCUGGCCAGAGCUGGUCCCCGGCAGGCGCGGCAGGACAGAGGUGUGUGAGUGGCCAGGGACAGAGCUGUGUCCCUGCCUGGCCUUGAGCCUCAUCCUGCUGUGGCAUGAGGGGUGUGUGCUGCUCUCAGGGGCUCUGGGGAUGCUUGCCUGGCUGAUGGUGCUGGUUCCAGAGCUCCACGUUGGGGUUUGGUUUGUUUGGAGCGAGUUCUGCAAAUCCUGGGCAGUGUUUGGGGAAAUUGCACUCCUGGAGGUGGAGCUGCCUUGGUUUCUGCCUCCUGAGGCUGCUCAGGGAUGCAGGAUGGCAGGGCAGGGAGUGUUGUGUCCCUGUUUUGGCAGGCUCUGGGUUUAUCCCACCCCAGCUGCAUCCCCUUCUCCUCCUGCAGCUGCUUUGGCUUGAGCCUCCUUGAGCCACUUCAUCCACAAAAUGUGUUUCUUUCUAGAAUCAGAACCUUUCCCAAAGCAGCUCUAACAAAACAAUGGUGGGGCUGAUGUAAAUUUUGGGACUUUAUCCCUCUCAGGAGACUUUGGAUGGGCUGGUCAGCAUCCAGGGCUGGGCACCCUGGCUCUUCUCCAGGGAACAAGGUCCCUGUGCUCAUAGGAAAUGAGCUGGAAUUCAUCCCAUAGAACUGAACCCAGUUCUUAGAAAUUUUAAACUACGGCUAGAGAUGAAAUGACAAAUAUUCUUGUACUUGUGCUCAUUCUAAAGCUUCCUCAGAAAGAGUUGUUGGCAUCUCUGUGAACCCCACUCUGCCGAGAUGGGCCGGGAAGUUUUUCCCUGCCCUCGGGUGCUCUCUGUUUUUGCCUUGUCAUCAGCCAUGAAAGUUUGUUGCUGUUCCUGCAGAGUUUCUUGCUGCCAGUUUGCAUGAUGCAGCCACUAACUCACCAGAGCCCGAGCUCCAGAGUGCCUUAACAUGCUGCUGGGGUUUUUGAGAGGUUUUGUAAUUUUAAUGAGUGUUGCAUAACCUGGUGUAGUUCUAUUUUAGUGGAAAUGGUGUUCUCUGCAUGAACCUGUGCCUGCAGAAGUGAUGCUCUUUGCUGCAUGAUGCAA